GUUCCCAUUUGUGUCUUAAGUCCACUAGUUCUGUCAGAGUGGGCAAUUAAUAAGGUACACAUAGUUAUGAAUUCCGAUGGCUGAAGUAUUUCUCUUUAAUUGCUUGAAUGAACAGAAAUGCACAAGGAAAAUAACUUCAUGUAACAGCAGCCUGUUAUUAAAGAGCAAAGUGCCUUCAUAUACAGACUCAACUCCAGGUUUGAGCCAUGCCUGAGAAAGUGGCCUAACCUCAUCACCGUGAACACCAUGGGGAGUCACUGGGAUCCAGUUCGGAUGGAGAUCUCUGUCCUCCAGCUUUUCAGGACUCAAGCACCGCUGCUAUGAAAAAAGGGAAGCUUAAUUUCUAAUGCCUUCUCCCUUUUCUGCGAAGAGCGCCGCACCUGCUCCAGCAUUCUAGGGAGAAAUCACAGUUUUCUCCGCCCCCUGACAAGCGCCAUACUCCAGGUGGGUCUAGAUGUCUCCCUUCCCAGCCAGGGCGGAGAGCCAAAGGCACCUCUCCCAGGCUGGGUGGGCGCGCCAGGGAC
This 524-nucleotide long non-coding RNA is filed under the name Felis catus (domestic cat). Its description in RNAcentral is "lncRNA (ENSFCAG00000047565.1)". The record is from RNAcentral. Lineage: Eukaryota; Metazoa; Chordata; Mammalia; Carnivora; Felidae.